Long non-coding RNA from Motacilla alba alba, 411 nucleotides. RefSeq lists it as uncharacterized. The record is from RefSeq and is a predicted model, not a curated record. Lineage: Eukaryota; Metazoa; Chordata; Aves; Passeriformes; Motacillidae. The transcript has 3 exons.
UGGCAUGUGGUCUCCGUGCUCCAGUGCCCGGGGAGCUGGCUCGGAGCAGCGCUGGAGCACGCUCCCAGGCACGCGCUCGCCUUCCAUGGAUUCAGCAGGCUGCUUGCUCCCGUCUGUCUGUCAGAGCUCGUGGGCUUCUCUGGGCAGCCCCUGCCAGGACGGCAUGAAUGAAACACUGUUUGCACUAGGUUUGGUGUCUCGGUGUUCAGAGUGCUGUGGGGAGUGAAUAUGCUGGGUGGGAAGCAGUCCCAGCCCAAAGAUUGAGCAGCCAGGGGAGAGACUGCAAGAGGAGACCAAGACUACCAAGCUCCUCUUUGCAAACCAUCACUGUGCAGGCGCUGGGGUUGUUUGGAAGAGGAAGCAUUGCCAUGGGCUCCUGGAGAAGUUGCCAUGCUGUUGUGCUCAUAUCAG